RNAcentral lists this ribosomal RNA (1475 nucleotides) under uncultured Bacteroidota bacterium. RNAcentral's name for it is "bacterial SSU rRNA". It matches the Rfam family "Bacterial small subunit ribosomal RNA". Lineage: Bacteria; Pseudomonadati; Bacteroidota. The record is from RNAcentral.
UACAGAGUUUGAUCCCUGGCUCAGGAUGAGGACGCUAGCGGCAGGCUUAAUACAUGCAAGUCGAUAGGCAGUCGGGUGCUUGAUGAGAGCACGGGUGCGUAACGCGUAUGCAACCUACCAGUAACAGGGGGAUAGCCCGGAGAAAUUCGGAUUGAUACCCCGUAGCAAUUAUUGGUGGCAUCACUGAUAGUUUAAAGCUAAGGCGGUUAGAGAUGGGCAUGCGUUCCAUUAGCUAGUUGGUGAGGUAACUCACCAAGGCGACGAUGGAUAGGGGACCUGAGAGGGCGAUCCGGCACACUGGUACUGAGACACGGACCAGACUCCUACGGGAGGCAGCAGUAAGGAAUAUUGGGCAAUGGCCGCAAGGCUGACCCAGCCAUGCCGCGUGCAGGAAGACGGCCUUAUGGGUUGUAAACUGCUUUUGUCAGGGAGUAAAUCCUUAUACGACAAUAAGGUUGAAAGUACCUGAAGAAUAAGCAUCGGCUAACUCUCGUGCCAGCAGCCGCGGUACCGCGGACGAUGCGAGCGUGAUCCGGAUUCAUUGGGUGUAUGGGGUGCGCAGACUAGCUAAUAAGUCAGGUGAAAUUCCACGGCUCAACUGUGGGGCUGCCUAGCAUACUGUUAGUCUUGAGUAGUUGAGGUGGCGGAAUGUAGCAUGUAGCAUUGAAAUGCAUAGAUAUGCUACAGAACACCGAUAGCUUCAGCAGCUCACCAAGUUAUAACUGACGCUCAUGCACGAAAGCGUGGGAUCAAACAGGAUUAGAUACCCUGGUAGUCCACGCUGUAAACGAUGAUCACUCGUUGUUGGCGAUACACAGUCAGCGGCUAAGCGAAAGUCAUAAGUGAUCCACCUGGGGAGUACGAUCGCAAGGUUGAAACUCAAAGGAAUUGACGCAUGCCCGCACAAGCGGUGGAGCAUGUGGUGUAAUUCGAUGAUACGCGAGGAACCUUACCUGGGCUUGAACGCUAGAUGUUAUUGGGAGAAAUCUCAAUAGGCUUCGGCCGUUGAGCCUGGUGCUGCCUGGUUGUCGUCAGCUCGUGCCGUGAGGUGUCGGGUUAAGUCCCAGAGCGCAACCCUUAUCAUGAGUUGCCAAGCUCAGGUAAAGCUGGGGACUCUAGUCUGAAACUGCCUACGCAAGUAGAGACAAGGUGGAUAUGACGUCAAAUCAGCACGUAUCUCACGUCCAGGGCUACACACGUGCUACAUUAGCCGGUACAGAGGGCAGCCACCUGGUGACAGCCUGCGAAUCUCGAAAGCCGGUCUCAGUUCGAGAUCGAAGUCUGCAACCUCGACUUCGUGAAGCUGGAAUAGUUAGUAAUCGCGCAUCAGCCAUGGCGCGGUGAAUACGUGGGCCUUGUACACAGCCGCCCGUCAAGCCAUUGGUGCAGCCGGGGUACCUGAAGUCGGUAACCGCAAGGAGCCGCCUAGGGUAAUACUUGGUGACUGGGGCUAAGUCGUAACAAGGCGCCUGUGA